RNAcentral lists this long non-coding RNA (1958 nucleotides) under Aplysia californica (California sea hare). Its description in RNAcentral is "uncharacterized LOC101851432". Lineage: Eukaryota; Metazoa; Mollusca; Gastropoda; Aplysiida; Aplysiidae. The record is from RNAcentral.
CAGGCUAGAUACUAGAUUCUAGAUAAAGGCCUAGUCCUGAGUAUCUCUCUCCUCUGACCCUUGCUUCUUCGGACGGACACCGUGCGAAGCGGAGCGGUCGAUUACCGACCACGACACAUGUCACUGCUGCUGUCACCAUAGGAGUCAUCAAAGACUUUCUCUUGGCUCAAAUCUGUGGGUGAGGCUGGACAAGACAUUACAGCAUCAGUGGACGACAGGGUGGACUAGCAUGACCCCAGGCCAAAGUGAGUUUCAGUGAUUGGUACUGUUUCCUCUGCCAUUCUGCGACUUUUAAAUGCUUGGCAAUCUCAUGAACACUCUUCUCUAGUAAGGGUAUAAUCUCACUGAGGGGGCUCUCCUGAAACACUAGGUCUUUUGUGAGGCCUUUUCUUUUUUCCUGGGUCCAAGUAAUCCAAGUAUAUUUGGUAAACUGUGAGCAAGUUCCCAGUCAUUGAUGAUUGAUAUAAUUAUUGUUUCCCGAAACAAGAAGUUCCCGUUGAGUGUAGCCUGUCCCGGGUUUCAGGGAAGACAUCUUUUCCAAGUCUUUUCGAAAGCAUAUUAACAUAUUAUAUUUACAUUUCAUUUUACAUGAACAGAAUGUACUUUGUUUAUUCGUUUACAUGAACAUAAUGCGUUGUCAAUGAAACAAUGCUUUUGUGAUACCACCAAGUGGCAUUUUAUUCCACAUUCUCUUCCAUCCCACCAUUCAAAAGUCCCUGGGGUGGACGCUGAAAAGGAGAGAUGUGCAGCUAUGGACAUGUUCUUCCUGCUAUGAUUAUAGCUCUGGAUCCAAGUAAUCCAAGUACAUGUAUAUUUUGUAAAUUGUGAGCAAGUUCCCAGUCAUUGAUAAUUGAUAUAAUUAUUGUUUCCCGAAUUAUUGUUACCCAAAACAAGAAGUUCCCGUUGAGUGUAGCCUGUCCCGGGUUUCAGGGAUGACAUCUUUUCCAAGUCUUUAUUGUUGCAGUCAAUAACAUCGUCACUACAGGAGUACAGCUGGGAAUUGGACGUGUUGUUUGAAAAUGACAUAUCUCCCGCAAAAUGAAAUCCUGCCUCAAAGAUAUAAAAUUGUAGGGUUCAAGCUUCACUAGUUAUAUCAUUAUUAUACUGUACAUCUUCUUUUUUGUGAACCUUGUAAUUUUGAAAAGGUCUUCCGAUGUUCAGAUACAAAAUGUAAUUCUGCGAAUAUCUUGAUAACCAACUCGUUUCCAGUGGGUCACCUGUGGACGUGUGCCAGCUGCUAUGACUGUAGCUCUGGAUCCAAGUAAUCCAAGUAUCUUUUGUAAACUGUGAGCCAGAUCCCAUUCAUUGAUGACUGAUAUAAUUAUUGUUACCGAAACAAAAAAGCUCCCGUGUUAUUAUCUAGGCCUACAAUUGUCAUUGCCAAGGACCGAAAGCAACAGCACUUCGACCUUUGAGACAGAGAUGACACCUCCAGGCCUGGUAUACACAAACAUGUAAUUAUAUAACCUCUUUGGUAAACAGUGUCAGUGGGUGAUCCUUCGUACUGCGGCGAGCAUUCAUCAUGCGACACUUUUCUCCAUUAAAAAAUCCAAAUGUCAUUAAAAAAGUUAUUCCCCCUGGUGCAGUAAGAACUCAGGUCUUUGACUGUACUUACAUCGCUCUGUUUUAGUAACUUUUUCAAGAAAUCAAACUUCCACAGGGAAACUUACGUGUCGUGGACCUCUAGCAAGAAAUGAUUGUAAUGAACAGUGUACAUAUGUAGCAUUAUGGCAUGUCUGUGCUGAGUCUUUGUAUAUGUAGCAUUAUUUAUGGCAUGUCUGUACUGAAUCUUUGUACAUGUAGCAUUAUAAUGGCAUGUCUGUGCUGAAUAUCUUUGUACAUGUAGCAUUAUAAUGGCAUGUCUGUGCUGAAUAUCUAUGUACAUGUCUGCUGAUGUUCUGUGACAUCCUCGCCACAUGUCCCUCGUGGGUCAAUAAACUUUCUCCUAUCUUACAGAA